AUGAACGCUGGCGGCGUGCCUAAUACAUGCAAGUCGAGCGAACAGACGAGGGGCUUGCUCCUCUGAUGUUAGCGGCGGACGGGUGAGUAACACGUGGAUAACCUACCUAUAAGACUGGGAUAACUUCGGGAAACCGGAGCUAAUACCGGAUAACAUGUUGAACCGCAUGGUUCAACAGUGAAAGACGGUCUUGCUGUCACUUAUAGAUGGAUCCGCGCCGCAUUAGCUAGUUGGUAAGGUAACGGCUUACCAAGGCAACGAUGCGUAGCCGACCUGAGAGGGUGAUCGGCCACACUGGAACUGAGACACGGUCCAGACUCCUACGGGAGGCAGCAGUAGGGAAUCUUCCGCAAUGGGCGAAAGCCUGACGGAGCAACGCCGCGUGAGUGAAGAAGGUCUUCGGAUCGUAAAACUCUGUUAUUAGGGAAGAACAAAUGUGUAAGUAACUAUGCACGUCUUGACGGUACCUAAUCAGAAAGCCACGGCUAACUACGUG
Molecule: ribosomal RNA, 496 nt
Filed under: uncultured bacterium
Lineage: Bacteria
Description: partial 16S ribosomal RNA
Rfam family: Bacterial small subunit ribosomal RNA
Source: RNAcentral